This is an RNA transcript of Belonocnema kinseyi, 1785 nucleotides long. RefSeq lists it as uncharacterized. The transcript has 7 exons. The record is from RefSeq and is a predicted model, not a curated record. NCBI's taxonomy places the organism in Eukaryota, Metazoa, Arthropoda, Insecta, Hymenoptera, Cynipidae.
CUCUGAUACCGAUGUUUUCUACACACGCAGCUUCAGGCGGUUGUCGCCAUCAUUAGUCUUUACGGAAUAUGGGUGUACUGCUAUUGGGGGAGGGUUUAAAUUCAAAGUUUUUAGUUCUCGUAAACCAAUCACAGCGGUCAAUUUAGGAACGGAAGUAAUUUCAAAAUUAUAGCGCCUGUCCAUUUUUAUACGUCGCAUAUGCUGGUGUUGAUGGUGUUGCAGACAAUUAUGAACCUAUCGCUCUGGAAAAACCAUUUGCAGUUGUAAAAUUUGCUACAAUGCACUGACGAAGAAAGUGCGUACUCGGAGGUCCCAGCAGAGUGAGUUUCCAUUUUUCUGGGCAAGGACGGCAAACGCUUCGACAUGUGUUGGUGGCCAGAUACUGAAAAUAAGAAUCUGGUUACCAAUUUAAUUUCUAGCAAAGCUGAAGUCAAUAAAGAUACAUGGAGGCAGCUUGCUGUCGAAUUUGAUAAAUACCCCUCGACUUAUCAAAGUGCUAGGAGAAGAACGACUGAUGCAAAUUACCAGACAACUGAUGAAAACAACUUAGGCCGAGGCAACCGAACAAAAACACCACGUCGCCCAAUAGGGGAAAAUGGUGAAGAAAUAGAUGCACCGAGUCAUGGUACGGAUCAGCAAUCAGUCCCCGAGAUGUUCAAGAAAACACUAAGACUUCUCGCAGAAAUUAGAAUAGACUUGAAGGAUUUAACAACACGGGUGACAAGUUUGGAUAAAAGGGAAGAGACGUUGGUUCAAGACGACAUGGAUUUAAUUAAAAAUUUGCUACCACUGUCUGAUCCAACUGAAGUUAUGAAAUUUAAUGAAACAUUGAAAAGAAAAUGCAGAAUUGAAAAAAUUUUUCGUUGUUGUAUUGAAAACCCUAUUUUCUUCGCAUAUCUUGAGCUGUAACAGGUUUUAGCUGCGCACACGCUCUCUCUCAUGGAAAUACUUAUUCUCCGAGUUGGAGCGAUUGGAGUUAAACAAAAUAUUGCAAACGUUUUUUUCAAGAGUGAUAACAAACAAGUGUGGCAAGAAAAUUUAUAAUUCAAUUACAGCUACAUUAUGCCGCUAUUAUUCGACCCUGACUGAAGCUGAAUUUGACGUUCGUGCCGCUGAAUGGUUCAGGGUUGCCAAUCAGCGGUACAAACGUGGAAAGGCAAAGAAGCAAAAGUCUGCUGGAAUGCCUCAAGAUGAAGGCAAAGCAGCCGUUUGACCUUAGAUGAAUUUCGGUACACCAUACGUUCAAAUCCUAACUUUAAAUAUUGUGAUUGCGAAUUAACUUUUCGCACUGUAUUUUUGCUUAAUUCUUUAAAAAGAUGUUAAUAUCUAAUCAGUUGACAAAGUUUAGAUGAUAAUUAGACUAGAUAGAUCUAGAAAGUCAGAAAUUCGACCGAAAUUAAGGGUGUCUUUCGAUAUUUUACAAAUAAUUCUUGAAGUUUCCAUCAAAACUCUAUUAUUUCUCAGAUAUAUCCUUUUUAAUUCUAAUUUUCCUUUAUUACUUUUUUUUCUUUAGUUUUCAGCCAAAUUAUUUUGAAAGAGUAGAAAUAAUUCAAAAGUAUCGAAAAAUGCCCCAUAAUUUUGUUCGGAUCCCUGUAGAAACCAAAUCAUUCUGUCCUUACAAAGACUGAAAAAGCUGGAUCAUUCGUUCAAAUCCUAACUUUGAAAAUUGUGAUUGCGAAUUAAUUUUUCGCACUUUAUUCAUACGUGCUUUAAAAAAAAGUUAAUAGAUGUUUUUUAAAGUGGGACGAUGGUCGUGGGGGCUAAAGCGUAGGCUUUGGACCCACU